GGACUACAGGGGUUUCUAAUCCUGUUUGCUCCCCACGCUUUCGAGCCUCAGUGUCAGUUACAGGCCAGAGAGCCGCUUUCGCCUCCGGUGUUCCUCCAUAUAUCUACGCAUUUCACCGCUACACAUGGAAUUCCACUCUCCUCUCCUGCACUCAAGUCUCCCAGUUUCCAAUGCCUACAAUGGUUGAGCCACUGCCUUUUACAUCAGACUUAAGAAACCACCUGCGCUCGCUUUACGCCCAAUAAAUCCGGACAACGCUUGGGACCUACGUAUUACCGCGGCUGCUGGCAC
RNAcentral lists this ribosomal RNA (291 nucleotides) under uncultured bacterium. Its description in RNAcentral is "partial 16S ribosomal RNA". The record is from RNAcentral.